RNAcentral lists this transfer RNA (108 nucleotides) under Sodiomyces alkalinus F11. It matches the Rfam family "tRNA". Rfam says of the family: Transfer RNA (tRNA) molecules are approximately 80 nucleotides in length. Their secondary structure includes four short double-helical elements and three loops (D, anti-codon, and T loops). Lineage: Eukaryota; Fungi; Ascomycota; Sordariomycetes; Glomerellales; Plectosphaerellaceae. The record is from Rfam by way of RNAcentral.
GUCUCCGUGGCGCAGCGGUAGCGCAGUAGUCUCAUACCCACUCAGUAUGACCAAGUCACAAGGUUUGGAGAUAUCUAAAGGUCGUGAGUUCGACCCUCACCGGGGACA